This 924-nucleotide ribosomal RNA is filed under the name uncultured Bacteroidota bacterium. Its description in RNAcentral is "bacterial SSU rRNA". It matches the Rfam family "Bacterial small subunit ribosomal RNA", at positions 1 to 916 of the family's 1533-position model. Lineage: Bacteria; Pseudomonadati; Bacteroidota. The record is from RNAcentral.
GGAUCCAGACUUUGAUUAUGGCUCAGGAUGAACGCUAGCUACAGGCUUAACACAUGCAAGUCGAGGGGAAACGAUAUUGGAAGCUUGCUUCCGAUAGGCGUCGACCGGCGCACGGGUGAGUAACGCGUAUCCAACCUGCCCAUCACUUGGGGAUAACCUUGCGAAAGUAAGAUUAAUACCCAAUGGUAUCUCAAGAAGACAUCUGAAUGAGAUUAAAGAUUCAUCGGUGAUGGAUGGGGAUGCGUCUGAUUAGCUUGUUGGCGGGGUAACGGCCCACCAAGGCGACGAUCAGUAGGGGUUCUGAGAGGAAGGUCCCCCACAUUGGAACUGAGACACGGUCCAAACUCCUACGGGAGGCAGCAGUGAGGAAUAUUGGUCAAUGGGCGAGAGCCUGAACCAGCCAAGUAGCGUGCAGGAAGACGGCCCUAUGGGUUGUAAACUGCUUUUAUAAGGGAAUAAAGUGAGCCUCGUGAGGCUUUUUGCAUGUACCUUAUGAAUAAGGACCGGCUAAUUCCGUGCCAGCAGCCGCGGUAAUACGGAAGGUCCGGGCGUUAUCCGGAUUUAUUGGGUUUAAAGGGAGCGUAGGCCGGAGAUUAAGCGUGUUGUGAAAUGUAGAUGCUCAACAUCUGCACUGCAGCGCGAACUGGUUUCCUUGAGUACGCACAAAGUGGGCGGAAUUCGUGGUGUAGCGGUGAAAUGCUUAGAUAUCACGAAGAACUCCGAUUGCGAAGGCAGCUCACUGGAGCGCAACUGACGCUGAAGCUCGAAAGUGCGGGUAUCGAACAGGAUUAGAUACCCUGGUAGUCCGCACGGUAAACGAUGGAUGCCCGCUGUUGGUCUGAAUAGGUCAGCGGCCAAGCGAAAGCAUUAAGCAUCCCACCUGGGGAGUACGCCGGCAACGGUGCAACUCAAAUGAAUUGACGG